CCUACGGGAGGCAGCAGUGGGGAAUAUUGGACAAUGGGGGGAACCCUGAUCCAGCGACGCCGCGUGAGUGAAGAAGUAUUUCGGUAUGUAAAGCUCUAUCGGCAGGGAAGAAAGAAAUGACGGUACCUGACUAAGAAGCCCCGGCUAACUACGUGCCAGCAGCCGCGGUAAUACGUAGGGGGCAAGCGUUAUCCGGAUUUACUGGGUGUAAAGGGAGCGUAGGCGGUCCGGAAAGUCAGCGGUAAAAGCCCGGGGCUCAACCCCGGCGAGCCGUUGAAACUGUCGG
This 286-nucleotide ribosomal RNA is filed under the name uncultured bacterium. RNAcentral's name for it is "partial 16S ribosomal RNA". It matches the Rfam family "Bacterial small subunit ribosomal RNA", at positions 338 to 639 of the family's 1533-position model. The record is from RNAcentral.